Molecule: non-coding RNA, 82 nt
Organism: Ixodes scapularis (black-legged tick)
Lineage: Eukaryota; Metazoa; Arthropoda; Arachnida; Ixodida; Ixodidae
Source: Rfam
GCAGUCGUGGCCGAGUGGUUAAGGCGAUGGACUGGAGAUCCAUUGGGGUCUCCCCGCGCGGGUUCGAGUCCUGUCGAUUGCG